GACGAACGCUGGCGGCGUGCUUAACACAUGCAAGUCGAACGGUGAAGCGCCUUCCUUUUUGGUGGGUGUGGAUGAGUGGCGAACGGGUGAGUAACACGUGAGUAACCUGCCCCCUUCUUCUGGAUAACCGCAUGAAAGUGUGGCUAAUACGGGAUAUUCUGGGCCUGUCGCAUGAUGGGUCUGGGAAAGAUAUUGUUUCGGUGGGGAUGGGCUCGCGGCCUAUCAGCUUGUUGGUGGGGUGAUGGCCUACCAAGGCGGUGACGGGUAGCCGGCCUGAGAGGGUGGACGGUCACACUGGGACUGAGACACGGCCCAGACUCCUACGGGAGGCAGCAGUGGGGAAUAUUGCACAAUGGGCGCAAGCCUGAUGCAGCGACGCCGCGUGAGGGAUGGAGGCCUUCGGGUUGUGAACCUCUUUCGCCAGUGAAGCAGGCCUGCCUCGUUUGUGGGUGGGUUGACGGUAGCUGGAUAAGAAGCGCCGGCUAACUACGUG
This 493-nucleotide ribosomal RNA is filed under the name uncultured bacterium. RNAcentral's name for it is "partial 16S ribosomal RNA". It matches the Rfam family "Bacterial small subunit ribosomal RNA", at positions 28 to 507 of the family's 1533-position model. The record is from RNAcentral.